This is a long non-coding RNA of Megachile rotundata (alfalfa leafcutting bee), 669 nucleotides long. Lineage: Eukaryota; Metazoa; Arthropoda; Insecta; Hymenoptera; Megachilidae. The record is from RefSeq and is a predicted model, not a curated record.
GUUUAUCAGAUUAGUUGUUUACAUUUUUGAAUGUUUAUCAAAGAAGUAAAUGAGAUAGCUGAAUGGACAAACUUUUUAAGAUAAAUGUUUGUAGUCAAACUGAAGAACUUUUGAUAUUAAACUACAAGAACUAUGAGAUGCAUACAAGAAGUUCUAACUCAAAGUCGAGACUAUUUCUUCGCAAGAAUAGAAUUAAUAACGACAUGCACGCAAGAUGAAACGAUUGCUCGAUUUCGUCAUUGAACGUCAUUAGUAUCAUCGACAAAAAGAGUCGUGGAAAAUAGUGAUGCUGAAUUUAAUAGAAAGCCAGAAGUAUCGUGUGCCAAUGAUUUACACAUGGCGAAAUUAACGUUUCGUUGUAAUCAGGGAAGAUUACUUGAUUCUCAAAGUAUCUUCAUGGAAGAUUUUUACUCGUGUAUAAUUCUUUAAAUAUCAAAUAAGUUAAAUUUUGCAAAUGUGUAACUCAAGAAUCCAUGUAUGAACUACCUGAAGCUUCACAAAGGACCCUAUAUGAAAUGCAAGAAGAAAAGCCAGAAAAUGUUUAAAGGAACACUGAGUCGAAAAGAAGAAAUGAAAAAAGACCCUCCACAAGAGGGUGAAAAAUGACUGAUAGAAUUUAUCGCAGAUCUCGACGCAACCACCAUCGCUAUUGUCGCGUUAGCAGAGCGU